This 1452-nucleotide ribosomal RNA is filed under the name Klebsiella pneumoniae. RNAcentral describes it as "16S ribosomal RNA". It matches the Rfam family "Bacterial small subunit ribosomal RNA". The record is from RNAcentral. Lineage: Bacteria; Pseudomonadati; Pseudomonadota; Gammaproteobacteria; Enterobacterales; Enterobacteriaceae.
ACACAUGCAAGUCGAGCGGUAGCACAGAGAGCUUGCUCUCGGGUGACGAGCGGCGGACGGGUGAGUAAUGUCUGGGAAACUGCCUGAUGGAGGGGGAUAACUACUGGAAACGGUAGCUAAUACCGCAUAACGUCGCAAGACCAAAGUGGGGGACCUUCGGGCCUCAUGCCAUCAGAUGUGCCCAGAUGGGAUUAGCUAGUAGGUGGGGUAACGGCUCACCUAGGCGACGAUCCCUAGCUGGUCUGAGAGGAUGACCAGCCACACUGGAACUGAGACACGGUCCAGACUCCUACGGGAGGCAGCAGUGGGGAAUAUUGCACAAUGGGCGCAAGCCUGAUGCAGCCAUGCCGCGUGUGUGAAGAAGGCCUUCGGGUUGUAAAGCACUUUCAGCGGGGAGGAAGGCGAUAAGGUUAAUAACCUUGUCGAUUGACGUUACCCGCAGAAGAAGCACCGGCUAACUCCGUGCCAGCAGCCGCGGUAAUACGGAGGGUGCAAGCGUUAAUCGGAAUUACUGGGCGUAAAGCGCACGCAGGCGGUCUGUCAAGUCGGAUGUGAAAUCCCCGGGCUCAACCUGGGAACUGCAUUCGAAACUGGCAGGCUAGAGUCUUGUAGAGGGGGGUAGAAUUCCAGGUGUAGCGGUGAAAUGCGUAGAGAUCUGGAGGAAUACCGGUGGCGAAGGCGGCCCCCUGGACAAAGACUGACGCUCAGGUGCGAAAGCGUGGGGAGCAAACAGGAUUAGAUACCCUGGUAGUCCACGCCGUAAACGAUGUCGAUUUGGAGGUUGUGCCCUUGAGGCGUGGCUUCCGGAGCUAACGCGUUAAAUCGACCGCCUGGGGAGUACGGCCGCAAGGUUAAAACUCAAAUGAAUUGACGGGGGCCCGCACAAGCGGUGGAGCAUGUGGUUUAAUUCGAUGCAACGCGAAGAACCUUACCUGGUCUUGACAUCCACAGAACUUUCCAGAGAUGGAUUGGUGCCUUCGGGAACUGUGAGACAGGUGCUGCAUGGCUGUCGUCAGCUCGUGUUGUGAAAUGUUGGGUUAAGUCCCGCAACGAGCGCAACCCUUAUCCUUUGUUGCCAGCGGUUAGGCCGGGAACUCAAAGGAGACUGCCAGUGAUAAACUGGAGGAAGGUGGGGAUGACGUCAAGUCAUCAUGGCCCUUACGACCAGGGCUACACACGUGCUACAAUGGCAUAUACAAAGAGAAGCGACCUCGCGAGAGCAAGCGGACCUCAUAAAGUAUGUCGUAGUCCGGAUUGGAGUCUGCAACUCGACUCCAUGAAGUCGGAAUCGCUAGUAAUCGUAGAUCAGAAUGCUACGGUGAAUACGUUCCCGGGCCUUGUACACACCGCCCGUCACACCAUGGGAGUGGGUUGCAAAAGAAGUAGGUAGCUUAACCUUCGGGAGGGCGCUUACCACUUUGUGAUUCAUGACUGGGGUGAAGUCGUAACAAG